GACGAACGCUGGCGGCGUGCUUAACACAUGCAAGUCGAACGCUGAAGCUUGGUGCUUGCACUGGGUGGAUGAGUGGCGAACGGGUGAGUAAUACGUGAGUAACCUGCCCUUGACUCUGAGAUAAGCCGGGGAAACUGGGUCUAAUACUGGAUACGACAUGCCACUGCAUGGUGGUGUGUGGAAAGGGGUUUAGUGGUUUUGGAUGGGCUCACGGCUUAUCAGCUUGUUGGUGGGGUAAUGGCCUACCAAGGCACGGACGGGUAGCCGGCCUGAGAGGGUGACCGGCCACACUGGGACUGAGAUACGGCCCAGACUCCUACGGGAGGCAGCAGUGGGGAAUAUUGCACAAUGGGCGGAAGCCUGAUGCAGCGACGCCGCGUGAGGGAUGACGGCCUUCGGGUUGUAAACCUCUUUCAGCACGGAAGAAGCGAGAGUGACGGUACGUGCAGAAGAAGCGCCGGCUAACUACGUG
RNAcentral lists this ribosomal RNA (472 nucleotides) under uncultured bacterium. RNAcentral's name for it is "partial 16S ribosomal RNA". It matches the Rfam family "Bacterial small subunit ribosomal RNA", at positions 28 to 507 of the family's 1533-position model. The record is from RNAcentral.